AAAGUUGUAAAACGCACUAAUAGCCGAAUCCAGAGUUAUUUCCCUUCCUCCGUUCAUGUAAGUGAGACCCAGAGGGAGGCUGGAACGCAAGCUGUGAUGACGGCGUUGUAUUUCAACAACAAA
This is a long non-coding RNA of Sebastes umbrosus (honeycomb rockfish), 123 nucleotides long. RefSeq lists it as uncharacterized. The transcript has 3 exons. Lineage: Eukaryota; Metazoa; Chordata; Actinopteri; Perciformes; Sebastidae. The record is from RefSeq and is a predicted model, not a curated record.